GGAGUUCUUGAUUUCUAGAUCUGAAAAGUUAGUUAUGGUGGUUAUGAUUAGGGUUUGAGCUUUUAUAUCACAUGCUAAUGAUGCUGCUAAUCACACUUUCCAUUUGUUAAUCAUGAUUAAGGAGUUUUGGAGCAAUUUGCAAAAAUGAAAAAUUGGCUAGCAUGGCCAUACUACACGCGCAAUCUCCCAUGUUGAGCUUCUAAUUCACACAAAAUCAUCCAAUGGUCAUGCUUGAAGUGCUUGUUUGCUUGUAGCUUAAGCCAAAAAUGAGUUGUGAAUAUUUU
This 284-nucleotide long non-coding RNA is filed under the name Lathyrus oleraceus (garden pea). RNAcentral describes it as "Pisum sativum (pea) long non-coding RNA (PSAT_LNC024111)". Lineage: Eukaryota; Viridiplantae; Streptophyta; Magnoliopsida; Fabales; Fabaceae. The record is from RNAcentral.